Molecule: ribosomal RNA, 1463 nt
Filed under: uncultured Klebsiella sp.
Lineage: Bacteria; Pseudomonadati; Pseudomonadota; Gammaproteobacteria; Enterobacterales; Enterobacteriaceae
Description: bacterial SSU rRNA
Rfam family: Bacterial small subunit ribosomal RNA
Source: RNAcentral
AUUGAACGCUGGCGGCAGGCCUAACACAUGCAAGUCGAACGGUAGCACAGAGAGCUUGCUCUCGGGUGACGAGUGGCGGACGGGUGAGUAAUGUCUGGGAAACUGCCUGAUGGAGGGGGAUAACUACUGGAAACGGUAGCUAAUACCGCAUAACGUCGCAAGACCAAAGAGGGGGACCUUCGGGCCUCUUGCCAUCAGAUGUGCCCAGAUGGGAUUAGCUAGUAGGUGGGGUAACGGCUCACCUAGGCGACGAUCCCUAGCUGGUCUGAGAGGAUGACCAGCCACACUGGAACUGAGACACGGUCCAGACUCCUACGGGAGGCAGCAGUGGGGAAUAUUGCACAAUGGGCGCAAGCCUGAUGCAGCCAUGCCGCGUGUAUGAAGAAGGCCUUCGGGUUGUAAAGUACUUUCAGCGGGGAGGAAGGCGAUAAGGUUAAUAACCUUGUCGAUUGACGUUACCCGCAGAAGAAGCACCGGCUAACUCCGUGCCAGCAGCCGCGGUAAUACGGAGGGUGCAAGCGUUAAUCGGAAUUACUGGGCGUAAAGCGCACGCAGGCGGUCUGUCAAGUCGGAUGUGAAAUCCCCGGGCUCAACCUGGGAACUGCAUUCGAAACUGGCAGGCUGGAGUCUUGUAGAGGGGGGUAGAAUUCCAGGUGUAGCGGUGAAAUGCGUAGAGAUCUGGAGGAAUACCGGUGGCGAAGGCGGCCCCCUGGACAAAGACUGACGCUCAGGUGCGAAAGCGUGGGGAGCAAACAGGAUUAGAUACCCUGGUAGUCCACGCUGUAAACGAUGUCGACUUGGAGGUUGUGCCCUUGAGGAGUGGCUUCCGGAGCUAACGCGUUAAGUCGACCGCCUGGGGAGUACGGCCGCAAGGUUAAAACUCAAAUGAAUUGACGGGGGCCCGCACAAGCGGUGGAGCAUGUGGUUUAAUUCGAUGCAACGCGAAGAACCUUACCAACUCUUGACAUCCAGAGAACUUAGCAGAGAUGCUUUGGUGCCUUCGGGAACUCUGAGGCAGGUGCUGCAUGGCUGUCGUCAGCUCGUGUUGUGAAAUGUUGGGUUAAGUCCCGCAACGAGCGCAACCCUUAUCCUUUGUUGCCAGCGGUCCGGCCGGGAACUCAAAGGAGACUGCCAGUGAUAAACUGGAGGAAGGUGGGGGUGACGUCAAGUCAUCAUGGCCCUUACGAGUAGGGCUACACACGUGCUACAAUGGCAUAUACAAAGAGAAGCGACCUCGCGAGAGCAAGCGGACCUCAUAAAGUAUGUCGUAGUCCGGAUUGGAGUCUGCAACUCGACUCCAUGAAGUCGGAAUCGCUAGUAAUCGUGGAUCAGAAUGCCACGGUGAAUACGUUCCCGGGCCUUGUACACACCGCCCGUCACACCAUGGGAGUGGGUUGCAAAAGAAGUAGGUAGCUUAACCUUCGGGAGGGCGCUUACCACUUUGUGAUUCAUGACUGGGGUGA